AUUGAACGCUGGCGGCAUGCCUUACACAUGCAAGUCGAACGGCAGCACGGGUGCUUGCACCUGGUGGCGAGUGGCGCACGGGUGAGUAAUACAUCGGAACAUGUCCUAUAGUGGGGGAUAGCCCGGCGAAAGCCGGAUUAAUACCGCAUACGAUCUACGGAUGAAAGCGGGGUACCUUCGGGCCUCGCGCUAUGGGGUUGGCCGAUGGCUGAUUAGCUAGUUGGUGGGGUAAAGGCCUACCAAGGCGACGAUCAGUAGAUGGUCUGAGAGGACGACCAGCCACACUGGGACUGAGACACGGCCCAGACUCCUACGGGAGGCAGCAGUGGGGAAUUUUGGACAAUGGGCGAAAGCCUGAUCCAGCAAUGCCGCGUGUGUGAAGAAGGCCUUCGGGUUGUAAAGCACUUUUGUCCGGAAAGAAAUCCUUGGCUCUAAUACAGUCGGGGGAUGACGGUACCGGAAGAAUAAGCACCGGCUAACUACGUG
This 486-nucleotide ribosomal RNA is filed under the name uncultured bacterium. RNAcentral describes it as "partial 16S ribosomal RNA". It matches the Rfam family "Bacterial small subunit ribosomal RNA", at positions 30 to 507 of the family's 1533-position model. The record is from RNAcentral.